RNAcentral lists this unclassified non-coding RNA (209 nucleotides) under Hevea brasiliensis (rubber tree). Lineage: Eukaryota; Viridiplantae; Streptophyta; Magnoliopsida; Malpighiales; Euphorbiaceae. The record is from RNAcentral.
GGAACAUUUGAGUCUUUCAAGAAUGAGAACAACUUCUGUGCUGAUGGUGCAAUCUCAAAUAUCUUCAAGAAGAAUUUAAGACCCAAUUCUGCAGCAUUCUUCUUCAUCACAUUCCAUGACUUGACCACCAGAGCUUCUUGCUCUUCUGUAAAAUCCUUGCAAUCUUCUUCCAAGGUAUUCAUAUUCUUUGGUUGAUAGGCAGAUGAUAU